GUGGACACCCAGACUUUUUGGCAAUGCAGGAUGAAGCACCACUGAAAGCCGUUGAGGAGGAAGAUAAUGUUUGCAAGAGCAGAGGAAGAAAAACUAGCUAUUUGCUGAGUGAGAAGUGAUAAAAUACGCAUAGUAAAGAGAAGACUUAGCGUUGGUGAGCUUUCAACCCAAUUAGAAAGCGUUCCAGCAACUCUGUCUAACUUCUUGUUGCUAAUUCCCCCACCUCAGAGUGGGCCUCUGAACUAAGGGCAAUGAGAGGCAAGUUUAGCUGAAGAGUCUCUACGUUCCGUGAACACACAUCCAUCAGCGUUCUGGCACGUGCAUGCUACAACUCCAUGGUAGGGUAUUUACAAUGGUGCACAGAACAGUGCUGGUCCCAGUCCUGGUGGAGCUUGCAGUUUGGGGAAGAAUGAAAAAAAUAAAUAAACAACAGGCGUACCUGGGAGAUACUGCAGGUUCGGUUCCAGACCACCACCAUAAAGUGAAUGUCGCAAUAAAAAACAAUAUACACUGCGAAAUGUAAAUCAGUGAGGAGGCUGGGCUAAGUUUCCAGAGGCACUCAAGUUUCUCCUGGCAGCACUGAUGAUCUGGAGAAAAUUGGGGGCACCCCAGGUAUGUUUCUGGUUGUGAAGGACAGAAGGCGGGACCUGAGAGCAUCCGGUUUCCUGUCUGCUAUGGAAGCAUAGCUGCUACUUUAACUGAUAAUUCAGUUGCCUUACUUCAUCUGGAAAGUGCCGUUGGGGUGUGAGAGUCUCCUCCAGCUUACAGUGGAUGCUCUGCAAAGCCAGACUGUUUCAAAUGGGUGCUGUUGAUUCAAUGGAAGUAUUAAAAUGAAAAUGAAACGUUCAACCAGCAGGUCACAAAGGCGUCACAAAGCACCAAGUAGAUGACGGUUUAUAAAAUGUUUAGGAAAUUUUUGACAACAUGGAA
This 930-nucleotide long non-coding RNA is filed under the name Equus asinus (donkey). Its description in RNAcentral is "lncRNA (ENSEASG00005025008.1)". Lineage: Eukaryota; Metazoa; Chordata; Mammalia; Perissodactyla; Equidae. The record is from RNAcentral.